CACGAUCAGUAAGCAUUACCAUGCAGUCGAGCGGGGAAGAGUAGCUUGCUACUUUACCUAGCGGCGGACGGGUGAGUAAUGCUUAGGAAUCUGCCUAUUAGUGGGGGACAACAUCUCGAAAGGGAUGCUAAUACCGCAUACGUCCUACGGGAGAAAGCAGGGGACCUUCGGGCCUUGCGCUAAUAGAUGAGCCUAAGUCGGAUUAGCUAGUUGGUGGGGUAAAGGCCUACCAAGGCGACGAUCUGUAGCGGGUCUGAGAGGAUGAUCCGCCACACUGGGACUGAGACACGGCCCAGACUCCUACGGGAGGCAGCAGUGGGGAAUAUUGGACAAUGGGGGGAACCCUGAUCCAGCCAUGCCGCGUGUGUGAAGAAGGCCUUUUGGUUGUAAAGCACUUUAAGCGAGGAGGAGGCUACCGAGAUUAAUACUCUUGGAUAGUGGACGUUACUCGCAGAAUAAGCACCGGCUAACUCUGUGCCAGCAGCCGCGGUAAUACAGAGGGUGCAAGCGUUAAUCGGAUUUACUGGGCGUAAAGCGCGCGUAGGUGGCCAAUUAAGUCAAAUGUGAAAUCCCCGAGCUUAACUUGGGAAUUGCAUUCGAUACUGGUUGGCUAGAGUAUGGGAGAGGAUGGUAGAAUUCCAGGUGUAGCGGUGAAAUGCGUAGAGAUCUGGAGGAAUACCGAUGGCGAAGGCAGCCAUCUGGCCUAAUACUGACACUGAGGUGCGAAAGCAUGGGGAGCAAACAGGAUUAGAUACCCUGGUAGUCCAUGCCGUAAACGAUGUCUACUAGCCGUUGGGGCCUUUGAGGCUUUAGUGGCGCAGCUAACGCGAUAAGUAGACCGCCUGGGGAGUACGGUCGCAAGACUAAAACUCAAAUGAAUUGACGGGGGCCCGCACAAGCGGUGGAGCAUGUGGUUUAAUUCGAUGCAACGCGAAGAACCUUACCUGGUCUUGACAUAGUAAGAACUUUCCAGAGAUGGAUUGGUGCCUUCGGGAACUA
RNAcentral lists this ribosomal RNA (999 nucleotides) under Acinetobacter sp. sw-6-1(2011). RNAcentral describes it as "bacterial SSU rRNA". It matches the Rfam family "Bacterial small subunit ribosomal RNA", at positions 34 to 1029 of the family's 1533-position model. Lineage: Bacteria; Pseudomonadati; Pseudomonadota; Gammaproteobacteria; Moraxellales; Moraxellaceae. The record is from RNAcentral.